UUGCUUUCAUCAGCCUGAAGUGAUGAUUCACAUUCAUGUCUCUUCUCUGAUAAAUUCUUGAAGAAAAUUUUUGUGUGUCUGAUCAGGCCUCUAGAGGGCAG
Molecule: small nucleolar RNA, 101 nt
Organism: Homo sapiens (human)
Lineage: Eukaryota; Metazoa; Chordata; Mammalia; Primates; Hominidae
Gene: SNORD111B
Product: small nucleolar RNA, C/D box 111B
Exons: 1
Source: RefSeq, marked validated